GAUGAACGCUGGCGGCGUGCUUAACACAUGCAAGUCGAACGAAGCACUUUAUUUGAUUUCCUUCGGGACUGAUUAUUUUGUGACUGAGUGGCGGACGGGUGAGUAACGCGUGGGUAACCUGCCUUGUACAGGGGGAUAACAGUUGGAAACGGCUGCUAAUACCGCAUAAGCGCACGGCAUCGCAUGAUGCAGUGUGAAAAACUCCGGUGGUAUAAGAUGGACCCGCGUUGGAUUAGCUAGUUGGUGAGGUAACGGCCCACCAAGGCGACGAUCCAUAGCCGACCUGAGAGGGUGACCGGCCACAUUGGGACUGAGACACGGCCCAAACUCCUACGGGAGGCAGCAGUGGGGAAUAUUGCACAAUGGGCGAAAGCCUGAUGCAGCGACGCCGCGUGAGCGAAGAAGUAUUUCGGUAUGUAAAGCUCUAUCAGCAGGGAAGAUAAUGACGGUACCUGACGAAGAAGCACCGGCUAAAUACAUG
RNAcentral lists this ribosomal RNA (481 nucleotides) under uncultured bacterium. Its description in RNAcentral is "partial 16S ribosomal RNA". It matches the Rfam family "Bacterial small subunit ribosomal RNA", at positions 28 to 507 of the family's 1533-position model. The record is from RNAcentral.